Molecule: RNase P RNA, 377 nt
Filed under: Geotalea daltonii FRC-32
Lineage: Bacteria; Pseudomonadati; Thermodesulfobacteriota; Desulfuromonadia; Geobacterales; Geobacteraceae
Description: Geobacter sp. FRC-32 Bacterial RNase P class A
Rfam family: Bacterial RNase P class A
About the family: Ribonuclease P (RNase P) is a ubiquitous endoribonuclease, found in archaea, bacteria and eukarya as well as chloroplasts and mitochondria. Its best characterised activity is the generation of mature 5'-ends of tRNAs by cleaving the 5'-leader elements of precursor-tRNAs.
Source: Rfam by way of RNAcentral
CGAAGCAGACCAGGUGGUCGCCGCCCGCAAGGGGGGAGGAAAGUCCGGGCUCCACAGGGCAUGACGCUGGAUAACGUCCAGCGGGGGCAACCCCAGGGAAAGUGCCACAGAGAGAAGUCCGCCUGUCGGAAGCGUGCGAAGACAGGUAAGGGUGAAAGGGUGAGGUAAGAGCUCACCGGAUCCGGCGGUGACGUCGGAUGCCAGGUAAACCCCGUCAGGAGCAAGACCAAAUAGGGAAGCGUCAAGGACGGCCCGUCCGUGCUUCCGGGUUGGUUGCUUGAGGCCGUCGGUAACGACGGUCCUAGAUGAAUGGCCGCCGCCUGCUUCAGGGAAACCUGUUGCAGGAACAGAACCCGGCUUAUGGGCUGCUUCGGCCA